Molecule: transfer RNA, 62 nt
Filed under: Rhipicephalus maculatus
Lineage: Eukaryota; Metazoa; Arthropoda; Arachnida; Ixodida; Ixodidae
Description: tRNA-Tyr
Source: RNAcentral
GGUAAAAUGGCUGAUUAUAGGCGAUAAAUUGUAAAUUUAUUUAUGAAUAGUUUCUUUUACUA